Molecule: long non-coding RNA, 1447 nt
Organism: Bombus impatiens (common eastern bumble bee)
Lineage: Eukaryota; Metazoa; Arthropoda; Insecta; Hymenoptera; Apidae
Exons: 3
Source: RefSeq, a predicted model, not a curated record
CCGGGGAGGAAACUGUGACAGGGCGCAGCCGCGGUUUCCAGGAUCCAGGGAUUGGCCGCGGCUUUGAUACCGUACGUCAGCCCCCAACCACCAUCGUGCCAACUAUCCGCAUCCCCCGCUGACCUCUUCUCGUCCCCCAAGCCGCUUCAUGCUUCGGGGGUGGCACGGCCCCGGGGGAAGAGGAAGCACACCAGGUAUAACGACGACGGUCGAUGCUGCGCGGUAUUUCUGGCGGCAGGUCGAUAUGAGCUUCACCUGUGCGACUGUGGGCUGCUGGCUGCUUCGAGAAAAAGGGGUUCGAGAACGCGGUGAACACGACACAGCACAGUGUUCUUCGACUAGCAACCAUUCCACAUUAUCUACCUUCAUCUCCACUCUUUCUUUCUUUCUCUUCCUGUCUUUCUCGCGCGUUCCUUGUAGGUAUAGAAUUUAAGUAUGCCACUACACGCUAUAAAGUAGCUUGUAAAUGGACUAUCUGCUUGCGCGGAUAUGAACGUUAUUUUUCAUUUCAUCAGAUCCGAUUUCAGCAGAUUGCUGAUUCUGUCUUUGGUUGAUUUAAUCGUGUUUGUGAACUCUCUUUAGCAUUCUCCGACGAUACGCCGCUGUUGGAUACGAACCUGACGUGAAUUUCUCCAUUGCGUGGAGAAAUUAGUGUAUUGUAACUUGCAAAUGAAUAGCAGCAGCAUUGUGAUGUAGAGUAUGCGGUUAUUGAGAAGAGGCGGUGGAUUUGUAAGAAAAGUCUAUUCACAUCCCUCAUUCUUUACUAUUAUUGGAUAAACUUGUUCUGAAUAUUGGAAGCAUAUUCUACUUUUCGCAAAAUCACCAAAGCAUUAAAAAAUUCAAACUGCCAAUUAUCAUAUCAUUCGCAGACAACGAUUCAACCAUCGUGAUUUACAGGAGCGUGAACAACGGUGCCUUCUUUGCAUCAACCUGGUUGCGCCACGUGGAAAUUGUAGACUCAAAAGAUUGAAACGCCUCCGUCUACUGAGGAAUUUCUCACAUUAGUUGAUCUACGUGCAGUCACAGACCUCAAGAUGCAUAGCGAGAGAUACUCAGAACCUGCGACCAAUCCUCCUAUCAUCUUACUGACCGACUAUUUUAUAGAAAAAUUAACGAGUAAUUGGCUAUUAUUUUCAUAAUCGAAAUAAACUUUCAUAAUUGAAAUUCGAACAUAGAUACAGUACCGUGAAUAAUUAUAGACUCAAAACCAUCUUUAGCUUUUUCAUAAUAUCAAAAUAAGAUGCAACAAACUUUUCUUCUUUGGAAAUUUUCUAUAGGAAAUUUCUUCUUUAGAAGCUUAGAAGAAAAGAUUACAUUUUCUCUUAUCUAUCCUUUUCAAUAUCCGCUAACGUGGAUUUUAUUUUGUUUUUAGAUUCAGCGAUAUUUUUUAUACGUGGCUUCUGAUUCUAAACUUCUCUCGUUAGAAUUCCUCGCAAGUUCUCGAUCG